This 497-nucleotide ribosomal RNA is filed under the name uncultured bacterium. RNAcentral describes it as "partial 16S ribosomal RNA". It matches the Rfam family "Bacterial small subunit ribosomal RNA", at positions 28 to 507 of the family's 1533-position model. The record is from RNAcentral.
GAUGAACGCUGGCGGCGUGCCUAAUACAUGCAAGUCGAGCGAACAGACGAGGAGCUUGCUCCUCUGACGUUAGCGGCGGACGGGUGAGUAACACGUGGAUAACCUACCUAUAAGACUGGGAUAACUUCGGGAAACCGGAGCUAAUACCGGAUAAUAUAUUGAACCGCAUGGUUCAAUAGUGAAAGACGGUUUUGCUGUCACUUAUAGAUUGAUCCGCGCCGCAUUAGCUAGUUGGUAAGGUAACGGCUUACCAAGGCAACGAUGCGUAGCCGACCUGAGAGGGUGAUCGAGCACACUGGAACUGAGACACGGUCCAGACUCCUACGGGAGGCAGCAGUAGGGAAUCUUCCGCAAUGGGCGAAAGCCUGACGGAGCAACGCCGCGUGAGUGAUGAAGGUCUUCGGAUCGUAAAACUCUGUUAUUAGGGAAGAACAAAUGUGUAAGUAACUAUGCACGUCUUGACGGUACCUAAUCAGAAAGCCACGGCUAACUACGUG